Molecule: ribosomal RNA, 254 nt
Filed under: uncultured bacterium
Lineage: Bacteria
Description: partial 16S ribosomal RNA
Rfam family: Bacterial small subunit ribosomal RNA
Source: RNAcentral
CGUAGGGUGCAAGCGUUAAUCGGAAUUACUGGGCGUAAAGCGUGCGCAGGCGGUCCGCUAAGACAGAUGUGAAAUCCCCGGGCUUAACCUGGGAACUGCAUUUGUGACUGGCGGGCUAGAGUAUGGCAGAGGGGGUAGAAUUCCACGUGUAGCAGUGAAAUGCGUAGAGAUGUGGAGGAAUACCGAUGGCGAAGGCAGCCCCCUGGGCCAAUACUGACGCUCAUGCACGAAAGCGUGGGGAGCAAAACAGGAUU